This 44508-nucleotide long non-coding RNA is filed under the name Chlamydomonas reinhardtii. RNAcentral's name for it is "long non-coding RNA (CREI_LNC000442)". Lineage: Eukaryota; Viridiplantae; Chlorophyta; Chlorophyceae; Chlamydomonadales; Chlamydomonadaceae. The record is from RNAcentral.
GCAUACGACUGCAGUUCUCUCGCCGGCGUGUUCUGCAGCCCGGCUGCCACGGAGGUGCGGUGGAGCCAGGGGUCCAGAGCCACCGGGUUAUUGUGGAAAUGCUGCGCCGCCGUGGUGGUCAGCACUCCAUACAAAUGCUGGAAACACAAACAGCCAACUGCCCCACAGCCACGUGGACCCACAUAUCCCUCCCCCCCCCGCCUCCUUAGGGGCACCAUCAGAUGGGCCACACAUUGCCACCUGCCAUACCUGCAUCAGCACCCCAACUCCUAGUCCCAGCCUGAUUAUACAAUGCACCAUGUGCCAACACUCCAUACAAAUGCUGGAAACACAAACAGCCAACUGCCCCACAGCCACGUGGACCCACAUAUCCCUCCCCCCCCGCCUCCUUAGGGCAGGGCACCAUCAGAUGGGCCACACAUUGCCACCUGCCAUACCUGCAUCGGCACCCCAACUCCUAGUCCCAGCCUGAUUAUACAAUGCACCAUGUGCCAACACUCCAUACAAAUGCUGGAAACACAAACAGCCAACGGCCCCACAGCCAUGUGGACCCACAUAUCCCUCCCCCCCCGCCUCCUUAGGGGCACCCACAGGUGGGCCAUGCAUUGUCACCUGCCAUACCUGCAUCGGCACCCCAACUCCUAGUCCCAGCCUGAUUAUACAAUGCACCAUGUGCCAACACUCCAUACAAAUGCUGGAAACACAAACAGCCAACUGCCCCACAGCCACCUGGACCCACAUAUCCCUCCCCCCCCGCCUCCUUAGGGGCACCCACAGGUGGGCCAUGCAUUGCCACCUGCCAUACCUGCAUCGGCACCCCAACUCCUAGUCCCAGCCUGAUUAUACAAUGCACCAUGUGCCAACACUCCAUACAAACGCUGGAAACACAAACAGCCUACUGCCCCACAGCCACCUGGACCCACAUAUCCCUCCCCCCCCCCGCCUCCUUAGGGGCACCUAGAGGGAUGGCUCCUGGCUCUCAGGACGGAAUACCUGUGAGCAGGUUCGGUGGAUUCCUGAGCCCCAGUUUGCUCCUGCAGAGGCAACUUAGCCCUGGCUAUAGUGUCCCUGUCAGGGCCCUUUCAUCAAUUGUCCAAACACUGCAGGGCAGCGUCAAACCAUAGUGGUACUAGGGGAACAUUGUUCAUAAAUGUUAUCGUUCCCCAAGGCUCAUGACAUGGGAAGACACGUUCCACAACUACUCAAGCACAACUACUACACGGCUAAGACCAUGCUCUUCUUGUAAGACCAGGCUCCUCUAGCUCCUCUUUAUCCCUCACAGCAGUUUGCAAGUUCAUGCUGCAAGUCCAUACUCCAAGGGUGACAGCCGCAAGAGUGGUAUGGUGUAGGCAUCAUCUAGUCCAUACUCUGACAACUGCUGCAACAUAAGCAACAACUGAAUAACAACUCUGCUACUAUGCACACCGUAUAUACCUAUGCACACAGUCAUAGCAAAGGUCAUAGCAAAGGGGCAAACCUUGGUUGUGCCCACAUCAACACAACCCACAUCAACGCACCCCACAGACUGAUGUCUGGUUCUGGUGAGGUUCUUUGCCCUAUAUUUAUCAUGAAUGGCACCUCCCCCCAAUACACAUAUGCAUUAUUACUCUGAUAUACUAGUAGGCCAAGACACACAGUCUCUCAGGCAAUCCAGGUUUCACGCCUUUUGUCCUUGUUGUACCGAUUAUAUCAGUCAGACGCCUCAAUGAAGUUUGAUGGAAGCGGUUGUUUCCGAGGGGGCUUCCAGCCAGGGCUCCCCGGAUGGCACAAGCUUGGCGUUCCGCAGGGUAAUCCUGCAGACAUAAUGGAUUAUAGAAAUGAAGGAAUGUACUGUCAGGUAAGGCUUUCUAGACUUUCAGGAUCUCAAGGAAUCUGCCAUUUGACAUCCCUGACUAGCCUGUCCACACAUCUGCUGCGAAGUAGCACGGCACCCCAGCAGUGAAGAAACUGCGUAGCUUUGCAUGCGCAACAGUGUGAUGUUGGGGAAGGGUAAGAUUAAAAGGACAAGUGAUUGAGAGGGUGGAAGGGGGUGGAUGUCAGUGCACAGUGCAUUGUGAGGGUAGCCCAGUUGUGACGUGGUUGUGACGUGGUUGUGACUGUGACUGUGACUGUGACUGUGUAAAAGACAGUUCAGGGUGUGAAGAGAAACAAACGUUGAACGUACCUGGCUUUGCGCGACAUCCAUCCCAGCAGGUGGGCCACUCAGAGGGGCCGCAGGCGGGAUAUAGCUGAGAAUCCCCCCUGCUGCAGCAGCCAUAGGCAUGCAUGCAUGAGGGGCAGGCCAUACAGCGACAUAGCAAAGAUCACAAAAAAGCAACAUACCAAGUGCCGGUACAGCGGGGAGUAUUAAGGUGGGCAUGAUGUGAGCCGGCAAGGUAGGAGGUGUGGGGACGAUGUUGGGAUACAGAGAACCGAUAUGACAUCUCACGGAAUACACUUGCAGUGUCCGCCCCCAGCCCCCGUGUGCCACUCGAUUGCCACGCUCUCCUCCUCACCCUAUUGCAUUGGGUUUGGUUUAGUUUGCAAUGGUAUCUACAACCCCCACCCCCACCCGGCCCCGCCACCCGGCCCGCCACCUGCCUUGCAAUGCAAGCCCGGGUCGCAGCCUCAGGACAUUCAGUGGCAUGCCUGGGUGCAUGUGGCGGCGUGCCCCGACACGGCGGCAUCCAGGUAGCAUCACAGCCAGCGCUCGUAUCUUAAGCAGGCAGGGGCGGCGUCAGUGGCCGAAUUCCUUAAAAUGACUUCGUUUGGUUGACGAAACAGGCUGCCGCUGCUUCGUUCACCCCCAAAAUUUUUCCGGAGGCUCUGCCCCCGACCCGCACGGUUCGUGCGGUGGUGUCGGUGAUCUUGGCGGACGCCAAGCAAUUGCACGGGAAUAUAACAGUAAACCAUUGCCCCAGAACAUUCUCAGAUGUCAACACCGACACGACCCGCACACUCCUCCCCUGCUUGCCGCCGACCCAACCUCAUUCUCCCGCCGUCAACACCCAUAGAUACAGCCCUCUGAGUCUUCUGACCAUAUGCCAUGCAGGUUUCGUUCGGCCGUGGGGUACGUUAGGUACGUAGCCGCUGGAACCCCCUUGUCCUUCGGCCAAAAGUGGCCGCAAUCCCAAAAUGUCUUCGUCUGUUUGCCGAAAACCCCCCCAAGAUCCCGUGCCUUUGGGCCGAAAAUUCAAGUCAAGAUCACAAAAAUUUCUUCCGCAGGAGACCUUUUUGGGCAAAUUUCGUUCCGAACGAAGGAAGAUACGAGCGCUGAUCACAGCAGGUGGUGACAUGGUUCGUGCCGUCCGCCCCCAGCCCCUACCCCCACCCACCGCCACAGCGCGAGGCGUCCUAUACGAGACAUUGCCCAAAUAGGUAGCCGUAGCGAAAGAGCGGUGAAGUGGCCGGAGGAAGGGAAGGCAAAAUCGUGUCGGCGCAGAUUUGGGAACGGGAAGGGAGUGGGGAGCGGGGCCCACUUGGGAGGGCUCAGUAUCGGGGACAGGCAGGGGAAUGGAGAUGGCAGGUGCGCCACGGGGCCUGGUAGCGGAGGAGUGUGCACACACCCAUGGAUGCGCAUCAGCAAACUUCCAGCCAGCCAGCAACUUUUCGGUACAGUAACUCCGGCGUUCGUCCAGCCGCGCACUCCUGCCCUGCCGUUGCAAAGUGUUUGCCAUCUUCUGGGGGCUGAGAGUUUGCUGCACCCUGCGGGACUUCACCAAUAACCUGCCUGGACACUGCCCCAUCGCACACCAACGGAUGCUGGGGCCAUACACGCGAGGGCGGGGGGAUGCGGGGACGCAGCCACGAAGGACACAGUAUUAGCGUCAGGAAUGCCGGGAGAUGAUGUGGGUAGAUAGGCCGCUGGUCGUCAGCGGUGUGGCCGGGCUGCAUCGGGACACACACACACCCCUGUCCCGGGACAGGCCGCCAUGGGGCGGUGUGGUCGGGCGCGUAAGCCUUGGAGGCAGCAAUAGAGAGCGCUAUGCCUUACAAGGUAGACGUAGCUACCGACCGCCCAAGUCAAGUUAACCCUUGUACGGAAGACACUCUUGGCACUUCACCAAUGAGACUUAUUGAAGUGCUCGCCUGCUCGGCCCCAUUCGCCCGGCCCCAUCGCAUCCGUACCACCCGCGACCCUCGCGGAAGUACGCGGAAUCCCUCCACACAGUUACCCUUCCACCCACACUGGGAGCAGUCUAUCAGACUGCGCGGAAAGGACGACUAGUUUCGCGACGAUCCCACCACACCCACCCGUCGCGAAGAGGAGAACCCGGAACACACAAUACACACAGCAGCACUAGGAACACAAGGCCCCAUCACACACCAACCCUAGCAACGAAACAGCAUACAUACGACCGCCAGCAACGGACUACUCAGCCUCAACUGCGGAGGGCUCCAGGUGGCGGUCGGGGUCCAGGUACCGCCGCAGCGUGCCCACGCUCCGCAUCUGAGCCAGCUGCAGCAGGGCGUCCAGGCCAGCGCCGGUGGCUCUGGCGUGCUGCAAGGAGCCGCGGCGGAAGCUGUGGCAGGUCUCGCCCUCCCCCAGACCCGCUUGCUCCAAAUGGCGGCGGAGGCGGUAAUUGAGGUCGGACGUGCUCAUAGCCCGUUCCUCAAAACCGCGCCGGUCAGCCCGCAGGGGCCGGAACAGCCAGUCACCCACCGCCCAGCCGCCCUCAGAGCACAGCUUCAAGUACACCGCCAGGCAGCGCACGAAACACUGGGAGGUGACGGGCGCGGGGGCCAGGUCGCGGGCGGGGGCGCGACGCCCCUGGUAGGUCUUGGUCCCGAGCUGGCUCACCACGAGGGUGGGGAAGGCGGUGAGGGGCGUCCCCAGAAGGGGGAGGGGAAGGGGAUACCUGGAGUAGGCGGAGGAGGAAUUGGCCGGGUCACGAAGAUCGCUCAGACGCAGCCGCCCGCAGUCGUGGCCGCGCGUGGUGGUGUGCCACAUGAACUGGUAGCACAGCAGGUCGCGGUACAGGCACGCCUCCUCGAUCCCGGCGGUGGAGGGGGCGGCGUUGAGCAGAUAGCGGCACAGCUGGGCGAACUUGUCAUACGACAGAGGCCGGGCGGAGCGCUCCUGGUACCCGCCGGCGCCGGCCUGACGCCCGUACCCACGACGGUACAGGCGGACAUCCGUAGACUCGCAAGGGUUGCCGCGAGGCGUAUCCUCGGUCCAGGGCCCCUUGCGACCGUACAGCUCGAAGCCACCGGAGAGCAGGGAAAGAUGGGUGAGCACCGAGCUGGGGCUGGGGCGCCCGCCAGCAGCGCGCCCACGAUGUGUAGAAACCCAGUGCCGCUCCAUGUAGAUCAGCACGUGCUCGGGGGUGCAGGAGUGGGCAGACACGCCGGAUGCGCGCCCCAGCAGCCAGCCCUCGAACUCAAGCAUGGCAGCCUCGCGUGCCCGGCGGGUAGACGGAGCAUGCGCGUGCGCCUGCACAGCAGCCACGGCGGGCAGGCUGCCCAGCAGGUAGGAGCUGGAAGCGGAGGCAUCCAGCACGAUGCGUGGAAUGGCGGGCAGAGGGGCGGUGGAGUAGCGGAACAGAGACAACCGCAACUGCGAGGGCGGAGACACAAGCACAAGGAUGUGUUAAGAAGGCUAUCAUAGGAGACGCGCCGAGCCAAGAAGAAGCCAAAGAACAGCGAUUCACGCACCGGAGGCGAAGCGGCGGGGAGCGGAUCCGGAAGCGCGGGGAGAGGCAGCCCCAAGAGACUUGAACCAGAAGAAGAAGCCGCCCCAAAGGCGCCCUGCGAGGGCGCGCAUAAGCGUUAUGGGCCAAACAACACAAGGACUGGCGGCGAGCCUCACCGCCGCGAACCCAGAGCCAGACCCAGGCGUGGACAAGACGUUGCUCAGGACAGGACGAGCAGUCGCCGAAGGCGGGUCACCGAACACGCCACGCCCGGGACCGGCCUGGAAAAACAGUGAACGAUUCCGGUCACCAAGCAGCACCAAAGGUCGUAACAAGAGCAGAUUAAUAUAGAGCGUAUCGGAAACCCACCAGAAGGCCAAGAGAAAUUCCGUGCAUUGAGGUUCGUCACGGGGCGCGUAAGCCUUGGAGGCAGCAAUAGAGAGCGCUAUGCCUUACAAGGUAGACGUAGCUACCGACCGCCCAAGUCAAGUUAACCCUUGUACGGAAGACACUCUUGGCACUUCACCAAUGAGACUUAUUGAAGUGCUCGCCUGCUCGGCCCCAUUCGCCCGGCCCCAUCGCAUCCGUACCACCCGCGACCCUCGCGGAAGUACGCGGAAUCCCUCCACACAGUUACCCUUCCACCCACACUGGGAGCAGUCUAUCAGACUGCGCGGAAAGGACGACUAGUUUCGCGACGAUUUAGGAGAGAGUUUUGCAACAACACGCUUAGGACGGCCCAAGCACUUUGCGUAGGAUAGAUAAUACACUGGAGUAGGAGACUACUCCGAAGAAUAGAGGAAGCAAGAAAGCUCAGAGCUCGGAGCUCGGUUCAUCGGUCGGCCUCGGCGCAAAAUGGUAAGCCACGGUAAGUAUCAUUAGUAGGGCGAGAUAAUAGAUGUUAAGAAAUGCACGAAAAGGCACCCGAACACAUGGUCCAGCCCAGUCAAGGUCAGUCAACGGGGCCGAUAGCAUGCUACAACCCACGAGAACAGUUUGGCGUCAAGCCCGAGGAGCUAAGGCAACAUCGCGGCAGUAGACUAAUCACCUAAGCAAGCAGCGGCUGGGGCCCAAAGGUCAAACGCAGCACGGUGAGGGGCGAGGGCGCGGGGCUGCACCAAGCGGCGGGAGGGGGAAGCCGGCCAGGCUGAGCGCGGGAAGCCGGGGUCGCACUAAGCGGCGGGCGCGGGGCCAUGCGGGAGUAAGGGGCGGCAAGUCCAGGGUUGCGCCAAGCGGCAGGUGCGGGGGGCAGGCGGCAAGCCAGGGUUGCACCAAGCCGAGGGUGCACGGGGCAGGCGGCAAGCCAGGGUUGCACCAAGCCGCGGGUGCACGGGGCUGGCGGCAAGCCAGGGCUGCACCAAGCGGCGGGUGCAGGGGGCAGGCGGCACGCCAGGGUUGCACCAAGCGGCAGGUGCGGGGGGCAGGCGGCAAGCCAGGGUUCCACCAAGCGGCAGGUGCGGGGGGCAGGCGGCAAGCCAGGGUUGCACCAAGCGGCGGGUGCGGGGGGCAGGCGGCAAGCCAGGGUCACGCCAAGCCGCAGGUGCGGGGGGCAGGCGGCAAGCCAGGGGGACACCAAGCGGCAGGUGCAGGGGGCAGGCGGCAAGCCAGGGUUGCACCAAGCGGCAGGUGCGGGGGGCAGGCGGCAAGCCAGGGGGGCACCGAGCGGCAGGUGCAGGGGGCAGGCGGCAAGCCAGGGUUGCACCAAGCGGCAGGUGCGGGGGGCAGGCGGCAAGCCAGGGUUGCGCCAAGCGGCGGGUGGGGGGGGCAGGCGGCAAGCCAGGGUUGCACCAAGCGGCGGGUGGGGGGGGCAGGCGGCAAGCCAGGGUUGCGCCAAGCGGCGGGUGGGGGGGGCAGGCGGCAAGCCAGGGUUGCACCAAGCGGCAGGUGCGGGGGGCAGGCGGCAAGCCAGGGUCACGCCAAGCCGCAGGUGCGGGGGGCAGGCGGCAAGCCAGGGGGACACCAAGCGGCAGGUGCAGGGGGCAGGCGGCAAGCCAGGGUUGCACCAAGCGGCGGGUUCGGGGGGCAGGCGGCAAGCCAGGGUCACGCCAAGCCGCAGGUGCGGGGGGCAGGCGGCAAGCCAGGGUCACGCCAAGCCGCAGGUGCGGGGGGCAGGCGGCAAGCCAGGGGGACACCAAGCGGCAGGUGCAGGGGGCAGGCGGCAAGCCAGGGUUGCACCAAGCGGCGGGUGCGGGGGGCAGGCGGCAAGCCAGGGUCACGCCAAGCCGCAGGUGCGGGGGGCAGGCGGCAAGCCAGGGGGACACCAAGCGGCAGGUGCAGGGGGCAGGCGGCAAGCCAGGGUUGCACCAAGCGGCAGGUGCGGGGGGCAGGCGGCAAGCCAGGGGGGCACCGAGCGGCAGGUGCAGGGGGCAGGCGGCAAGCCAGGGUUGCACCAAGCGGCAGGUGCGGGGGGCAGGCGGCAAGCCAGGGUGGCACCAAGCGGCGGGUGCGGGGGGCAGGCGGCAAGCCAGGGUCACGCCAAGCGGCAGGUGCGGGGGGCAGGCGGCAAGCCAGGGUGGCACCAAGCGGCGGGUGCGGGGGGCAGGCGGCAAGCCAGGUUGGCACCAAGCGGCGGGUGCGGGGGGCAGGCGGCAAGCCAGGGUUGCACCAAGCCGAGGGUGCGGGGGGCAGGCGGCAAGCCAGGGUUGCACCAAGCCGCGGGUGCACGGGGCUGGCGGCAAGCCAGGGCUGCACCAAGCGGCGGGUGCGGGGGGCAGGCGGCAAGCCAGGGUCACGCCAAGCGGCAGGUGCGGGGGGCAGGCGGCAAGCCAGGGUUCCACCAAGCGGCGGGUGCGGGGGGCAGGGGGCAAGCCAGGGUCGCGAAAAGCCGCGGGUGCACGGGGCAGGCGGGAGUACGGGGAGGCAAGUCCAGGGUUGCACCAAGCGGCAGGUGCGGGGGGCAGGCGACAAGCCAGGGUUGCACCAAGCGGCAGGUGCGGGGGGCAGGCGGCAAGCCAGGGUUGCAGCAAGCGGUGGGGGCGCGGAGGCAGGGCACUGAGGGCAGGCAGAAUGCGGGGCGGCAAGUCAGGCUUGCGCCAAGCGGCAGGUGCCGGGGCAAGGAGACGGCAGGCCAGUGUUGCACAAGCGCGGCGGGACGCAGGGGCAGGGCAGAUGGAGUGCGGGGGCGACAAGCCAGGGCUGCACCAAGCAGCGGGGAGGCGGAGACAGGACAGGCGGAGUGCGGGGCGGCAAGCCGGGGGUUGCGGCGGGUGUGCGAGGCAAGGGCAGAUGAAGCGCGGGGCGGAAGCCGAGGGUUCGUUGCGGCAUACAGCGGGUGCGCGCGGGCAGGGCAGGCGGAGGGGUAUGUGGGCCAGAGGUACAGGGCUACUGACACCAAGCAGUGGGGGCGCUGGAGGGGAGCAGAAGGAGGGCAGUGAGACAACCUGGGGUAGUGCCAAACGAACCGGGCAGGGGGACGAAGAGCCGGCAAAAAGAAGCGUUGCGAGAUGUGGUGCUACAAAGGAGAAGGCAGUAGGCCAAUCGGCGCCCCAGGAGGAGCGGUAUGAGAGUAGCGAGGGCAAGCCGGGGCUGCGACAAGCGACGGGGGCCACGCACGGAGCGGAGCACAAGCAGGCGACUCAGCCCGAGUGACGGGGGCGCUGGGCGAAGCAGGCUGAGGGCAGCAAGAGCAAGCCGGGGCCACACUAAGAGACGUAGGCAUGGGGCAGAGCAGGUAGGCGGAAGGAGGCGCAGGCAAGUCAGGGGGCCAAGUGGCGGGGGCGUUGGGGACUCACCGGCAGAGGGCUGAGAUGGCAAACCAGGGGUUGCGCCUAGCGGCGGGGGGCUCUGAAAAGAGCAGGAGGCGGGCAGCGAGGGCACAACUGGGCUUUGCGACAGGGGCACGGGGGAGAGCAGGCGGAAGGAAGCGCGGGCAACUCAGGGGAGGCGCCAAAUGGCGGGGGCGUUGGAGAAGAUCCGCCGGCAGAGGACUGAGAGGACAGCCCAAGGGAUGUGCCUAGCGGCGGGCGCGUGGGGAAGAGCACGCUGCGGGCAGCGAGGGCAAACAGGGUUCAUCACGCCGGGGGCUCGGGGGUACGGGGCAGAGCAGGUGGCAGGGAGCGAUGGCCGUGGGGCUGCGCAGGCGGAGGUGAGGGCAAGGGGGUUAGCAGGGAUCCCGUCGUCAUCGGCACGUAUGCGGGACAGGCGGGGGCGGGGCAGCAGGGGAAGGCGUGGUGGAGGUGGCGGAAGGGCACGGGAUCCAGACUGCACGUAGCAGGGGUGCCGGUAAACGGACUGGAUGACUCGCCAGGGACUGCUCGCGGUGUUGUCGUGGAGUUGUGGAGGGUUACCCGCCACAGGUGGCAGCCCAGGGAUGGCACACAACCGAGGGGGCUUUAUUUGGGGGCAGCACUGACGGCAAAAAAGGCUAAGCCAGGGCAAAAGGCAAACAGUGAGCGCGCAAAGAGGAGCAGCCUGAGCGAGGGCAGAGAGGACAAGCUGGGACCCGCGAGUUGGUAGAAGAAGCCAGAGCGAGGGCCGCGAUGUCCCGACAAGCCAGGGGUAGCACCGAGAGAUUGGGGGCGCGGGGCCUGGGCAGCAGGUCGAGGGCGUCGAAGACAAUAGUGGGUACGCCAAGGGGCGGCGCGGGCGCGGACGCGGGGCUUGGCAGGAGCAGGUAGGCGGUGGUGGCAGUGGGUGGCCGCGCGUGAGGAGAGCAGGCAGGCAGAUCGAUGGCAGCGAUGCUGCGGUUUAACGUUGAACCAAUCCGAUGCUGGGGUGCUCAAGCUUAAGAGAAUGCGCGGGGGCAUAGGGGGCAGAGCAGCAAGCCAGGAGAGGCGUCAAGCGGUGCGUGAGCAGGGGCAGAGUAGGCCGAGGUAAGCAAUGACAAGUAAGCCGGGGCGGCGACAAGCGGCGGGGAGGGCAUCCCAGGCAGAGGGCGCGGGGCUGGGGCGACAAGCCAGCAGGAGCCCGCCAAUGGGUGGGGGCGCAGGGAGCAGUACCGGACGAGGCAGCCCGGGCAGCCGAAACUUUGUGAGGCAGAGCAUAGAAGGCGUCACUUGGGAGACCUGCUGACAAGGGGUAGGGCUGCAGGGGGGCCCUACCGGGGCCCCUAGGGAUCCGAGACAGGCGGCGAGCGCGGCCCAGUAGGAGGGAUCGCACAACAGAGGGGUUGCAACAAGUGGCAGAGAACCCGGGAUACGAGCCCCACAAGAGCAACAUGAGGUAGGGCAGCGGAGACCGCAACAUUAACGACACACCAGUUUGGCACGGGGGGUCGCGCCCAGGCUAACAGAUUCCUGUGUGUCUGUGGUUACAAGGUGGCGAGCACGAUGACGUGCAUCCCUGUCAGAUUAACAGGCGGGCAGGACCUGGGGACGGGGCGAGGGUAAUCCAGGGCAGAUUACGGGAUCAGAAGUCUGGGUGCCCGGUGAGAGGGUGGCCGACAGGACGCGAACAACCCAGGGCGGGCGCGGGGCGCACGGUGCGAGAAGGAUGCUAGCUAGGCACGCGGAACAGGCAGGGCAGACCCCCGGGCCGCCUCCCAGCACCUACUCCGGCUGCCCUCGAGUAAGGCGGGACGAGACGCACACGCACAUGGCUGACCCGCCCGCGGGACCCGGGUAGGCGGACGCCAGAAUCGGGGAACGGGCCCCGGACGUAAGGGGGGCACUAGGUGGCGCAGGCGGGCCGAGUAAGGCUUGGCGGGAGACGGAUAGACGGAGUAGACGGAGUGCAGAGGAUUAACACUCGGCCAGGCAGGGGGCUAUCUACCCACGGCUCGUGUCACUGCGAUAGACAACCCACAAUCGGGCAGAUUGGUUCCUGGAUACCGAUCAACGCGGGCCCUGCCACGGGGGUCCGUGGGCCACCCGCGAGCCGGGGGAAACAUAUGAAGCCGGCAGGACAGGCGGCUCGCCUGGCGGAAGAGGCGGGCUGAGGCGGACUAGCCAACCGACAGCACCUUGAAGGGGCGGGCGGGCAAUGCCGGGCAAUGCCGAGCCAGAUCAGACAGGCAACACGCCAAUAAGUAACAGCUGCCAAGACACAUACACAUGGAGGAGGAGCCCAGUACAUACAGUCGACGCGGGAAGAGCGGCAGCGGCAGGAACAGAUUGAAGCCGAGUAAGAAGCGCCAGACCUGGGGGGGGGGGGCGCCGGAAUACCCUGGCAGAUAGUAGCGGUGGGGAAGGAGCGAGGGUAGAGGGGCAAGAAGCCACGCGAGGGGACCGUCGGUAAGAUAGUCCACCUGAGCGAUACGUGCCAGGGCAAGCAGAAGCACGGCACGCAGGUUGGGACGUCACCGGCAAUUGCGCAAAACCGGACACGCACGUGAGUGAGCUAUGCAGUCAGGGGCCAGCCGGAGAGAUGGAAGACACUAGCGGCCUAUAUAUAUCAUCAGCAAAGGGGGCGGGUUGCAGUUACCAAUAGUCAGUGCGCAUGUAUAGGAGCGAGGAGGAGAGCGGGGAUACACCAAAAACCGCGGCCAGUACACAAGCAUCAAGCAAGCAACGGGAACACACCGACGGGAACACACCAGCCGGACGCAGCUGGGGAGCGGCACAAGUUUAAAAGCAUAUGGCGGCCCAACCAAGUAGGACGCACGCAACCGCUGGCGGAGGAGCAAGGGUUGCGGUCACCAGCCCAAGCUAAGCCAAACCAAACCAAGCGGAUGGGGAAGAGCGAGGAGGAGAGCGGGGGCCGGGGGGUGGGUGCUGUAGCAACGGCCACCGGGGCACGCCGUGCUAAGAGGUGAGGCAGGCAGGCAGGCAGGCAGGCAGGCAGGCAGGCAGGCAGGCAGGCAGGCAGGCAGGCAGGCAGGCAGGCAGGCAGGCAGGCAGGCAGGCAGGCAGGCAGGCAGGCAGGCAGGCAGGCAGGCAGGCAGGCAGGCAGGCAGGCAGGCAGGCAGGCAGGCAGGCAGGCAGGCAGGCAGGCAGGCAGGCAGGCAGGCAGGCAGGCAGGCAGGCAGGCAGGCAGGCAGGCAGGCAGGCAGGCAGGCAGGCAGGCAGGCAGGCAGGCAGGCAGGCAGGCAGGCAGGCAGGCAGGCAGGCAGGCAGGCAGGCAGGCAGGCAAGCAGGCAGGCAGGCAGGCAGGCAGGCAGGCAGGCAGGCAGGCAGGCAGCCAGGCAGGCAGGCAGGCAGGCGGGCGCCUGGGAAAGCGGGGCUUGCCACACCCUAGGCAGCCCGCGGCCUGAACACUAGGACGCAUGCUGGGGCACACACCCACUACCCGCACUCAAUCGGACUCAAGCCCCCCCUGGCACAAGAGAAACCGUGCACUGCCGCCCGGGGACGGACCUGGUGCGGCCGGCGGCAUGCACCACGGCUGCCCGCGCACACCAGGAGGGGACACACGGCGGAUUGCACCAUGGCGAUACGCGGCAAUCUUUAACCAGUACUGAAAGUCCUCACCAUUGGCGGGACGGAAGACCGGAGCUCGCAAGCCCCAGCGAACAUACAAGCAGGGCCCACUGGGACUAUGGUUGGGACACCGCCGGUGGCCCGACAGGCCGACACCGCGCGGCAGGCGGCACGCAGGACAAACAGGGAAAGGGAGGCGACGAACCACAUGGGUAGGCGCGCUCAAACACUGCAGAGACCCAAGCAGCGGCUAGACAGGGGAUGCAGCAAGCGCUGGCCCCGGCCCCGCGCGGGCCAAAUUCGUGACCGUGGGGGCACGCGGAGCGCCGCCCAUGGUUGGGGUGAAGGCAGGGAGUAGAGUGGUACAGAAGAGAGACCCAGGCUGGGCACAACGUCCGAUGCAGACUGCGCAACCAAUAAGCUGCGUCAACACGCUGUACGUGCACACGCGCGCGGCAGCCCAAGAGGUGGGGGCAGGGAGGACCGCGGCAGCGCGAGGCGUCCUAUACGAGACAUUGCCCAAAUAGGUAGCCGUAGCGAAAGAGCGGUGAAGUGGCCGGAGGAAGGGAAGGCAAAAUCGUGUCGGCGCAGAUUUGGGAACGGGAAGGGAGUGGGGAGCGGGGCCCACUUGGGAGGGCUCAGUAUCGGGGACAGGCAGGGGAAUGGAGAUGGCAGGUGCGCCACGGGGCCUGGUAGCGGAGGAGUGUGCACACACCCAUGGAUGCGCAUCAGCAAACUUCCAGCCAGCCAGCAACUUUUCGGUACAGUAACUCCGGCGUUCGUCCAGCCGCGCACUCCUGCCCUGCCGUUGCAAAGUGUUUGCCAUCUUCUGGGGGCUGAGAGUUUGCUGCACCCUGCGGGACUUCACCAAUAACCUGCCUGGACACUGCCCCAUCGCACACCAACGGAUGCUGGGGCCAUACACGCGAGGGCGGGGGGAUGCGGGGACGCAGCCACGAAGGACACAGUAUUAGCGUCAGGAAUGCCGGGAGAUGAUGUGGGUAGAUAGGCCGCUGGUCGUCAGCGGUGUGGCCGGGCUGCAUCGGGACACACACACACCCCUGUCCCGGGACAGGCCGCCAUGGGGCGGUGUGGUCGGGCGCGUAAGCCUUGGAGGCAGCAAUAGAGAGCGCUAUGCCUUACAAGGUAGACGUAGCUACCGACCGCCCAAGUCAAGUUAACCCUUGUACGGAAGACACUCUUGGCACUUCACCAAUGAGACUUAUUGAAGUGCUCGCCUGCUCGGCCCCAUUCGCCCGGCCCCAUCGCAUCCGUACCACCCGCGACCCUCGCGGAAGUACGCGGAAUCCCUCCACACAGUUACCCUUCCACCCACACUGGGAGCAGUCUAUCAGACUGCGCGGAAAGGACGACUAGUUUCGCGACGAUCCCACCACACCCACCCGUCGCGAAGAGGAGAACCCGGAACACACAAUACACACAGCAGCACUAGGAACACAAGGCCCCAUCACACACCAACCCUAGCAACGAAACAGCAUACAUACGACCGCCAGCAACGGACUACUCAGCCUCAACUGCGGAGGGCUCCAGGUGGCGGUCGGGGUCCAGGUACCGCCGCAGCGUGCCCACGCUCCGCAUCUGAGCCAGCUGCAGCAGGGCGUCCAGGCCAGCGCCGGUGGCUCUGGCGUGCUGCAAGGAGCCGCGGCGGAAGCUGUGGCAGGUCUCGCCCUCCCCCAGACCCGCUUGCUCCAAAUGGCGGCGGAGGCGGUAAUUGAGGUCGGACGUGCUCAUAGCCCGUUCCUCAAAACCGCGCCGGUCAGCCCGCAGGGGCCGGAACAGCCAGUCACCCACCGCCCAGCCGCCCUCAGAGCACAGCUUCAAGUACACCGCCAGGCAGCGCACGAAACACUGGGAGGUGACGGGCGCGGGGGCCAGGUCGCGGGCGGGGGCGCGACGCCCCUGGUAGGUCUUGGUCCCGAGCUGGCUCACCACGAGGGUGGGGAAGGCGGUGAGGGGCGUCCCCAGAAGGGGGAGGGGAAGGGGAUACCUGGAGUAGGCGGAGGAGGAAUUGGCCGGGUCACGAAGAUCGCUCAGACGCAGCCGCCCGCAGUCGUGGCCGCGCGUGGUGGUGUGCCACAUGAACUGGUAGCACAGCAGGUCGCGGUACAGGCACGCCUCCUCGAUCCCGGCGGUGGAGGGGGCGGCGUUGAGCAGAUAGCGGCACAGCUGGGCGAACUUGUCAUACGACAGAGGCCGGGCGGAGCGCUCCUGGUACCCGCCGGCGCCGGCCUGACGCCCGUACCCACGACGGUACAGGCGGACAUCCGUAGACUCGCAAGGGUUGCCGCGAGGCGUAUCCUCGGUCCAGGGCCCCUUGCGACCGUACAGCUCGAAGCCACCGGAGAGCAGGGAAAGAUGGGUGAGCACCGAGCUGGGGCUGGGGCGCCCGCCAGCAGCGCGCCCACGAUGUGUAGAAACCCAGUGCCGCUCCAUGUAGAUCAGCACGUGCUCGGGGGUGCAGGAGUGGGCAGACACGCCGGAUGCGCGCCCCAGCAGCCAGCCCUCGAACUCAAGCAUGGCAGCCUCGCGUGCCCGGCGGGUAGACGGAGCAUGCGCGUGCGCCUGCACAGCGGCCACGGCGGGCAGGCUGCCCAGCAGGUAGGAGCUGGAAGCGGAGGCAUCCAGCACGAUGCGUGGAAUGGCGGGCAGAGGGGCGGUGGAGUAGCGGAACAGAGACAACCGCAACUGCGAGGGCGGAGACACAAGCACAAGGAUGUGUUAAGAAGGCUAUCAUAGGAGACGCGCCGAGCCAAGAAGAAGCCAAAGAACAGCGAUUCACGCACCGGAGGCGAAGCGGCGGGGAGCGGAUCCGGAAGCGCGGGGAGAGGCAGCCCCAAGAGACUUGAACCAGAAGAAGAAGCCGCCCCAAAGGCGCCCUGCGAGGGCGCGCAUAAGCGUUAUGGGCCAAACAACACAAGGACUGGCGGCGAGCCUCACCGCCGCGAACCCAGAGCCAGACCCAGGCGUGGACAAGACGUUGCUCAGGACAGGACGAGCAGUCGCCGAAGGCGGGUCACCGAACACGCCACGCCCGGGACCGGCCUGGAAAAACAGUGAACGAUUCCGGCCACCAAGCAGCACCAAAGGUCGUAACAAGAGCAGAUUAAUAUAGAGCGUAUCGGAAACCCAAUAGAAGGCCAAGAGAAAUUCCGUGCAUUGAGGUUCGUCACGGGGCGCGUAAGCCUUGGAGGCAGCAAUAGAGAGCGCUAUGCCUUACAAGGUAGACGUAGCUACCGACCGCCCAAGUCAAGUUAACCCUUGUACGGAAGACACUCUUGGCACUUCACCAAUGAGACUUAUUGAAGUGCUCGCCUGCUCGGCCCCAUUCGCCCGGCCCCAUCGCAUCCGUACCACCCGCGACCCUCGCGGAAGUACGCGGAAUCCCUCCACACAGUUACCCUUCCACCCACACUGGGAGCAGUCUAUCAGACUGCGCGGAAAGGACGACUAGUUUCGCGACUAGCUCCGCGGAAAGGACCACUAGUUUCGCGUUCCUGGAGUGUCCAGCUUAUGCGCAGGCGAGGACGUGGCUGCAGCAGCUGUGGGCCUGCGUUGCGCCCCAGGCAGCGGCGCCGCCAGUGACGGACGCGGGCUUCAUGCUGGGGGACCGCAUGGGUAUGUGGGCCUCAGGCCCGCGGGGGGCGGGCGCGCUGCUGUGGAGCACUUUGCGGGCCACCUUCUUGUACGCCGUCUGGUGUGCGUACUGGUCCCGCGAGCCUGCUAAGCAGACGUCGGAGCAUGUGGUUCGGGAGGUGGUCAGCGAGCUGCGCAGGGUGAUGCAGCUGCGUUUCACUGCCGCCACGCUAACCCCUGAAACCCUGUCGGCUCUGCCCACACAGCUUCUCACCGCGCAGCUCAAGGCGGCUAAGCUGGAGCACUUUGUUGCCAUCUGGACGGCGGGUGGCGCGCUUUGUGAAGUGGAGGAGGUUCAGGGUGGGUCACCGAAGUUGAACUUGCGGCUGACGCUUGCAUCACCUGUGCAGGCCCCCUAGGUUUCCUUUUGGGUGGCGUUUCUUUCCAAGCGCUGGCGUGGUGUACUAUCGUCAUCAGCUUAUCUGGCGCCCAUGUGUUUUAGCUCUGGCUGGCGUCGCAGCGCCUGGGCGGCUGUGGGACUUCCUGCACAGCGCGUCUUGCAGCGGGCUGGAGCCCACUUAGUCAGCGCCACAUCUGGCCCAUUUAGUCUUCUGCUUGUGUCUCCUCUGCCGGUUCUCCUGGGGUGUUGCUUAAGCAACCGACUUGUGGGGGUGGGGUGGGUUUGGGCGGGGCGAGUGCGUAGCGCUGGUGUUUCCUUUUCUGGCGCGCGGUGGUGGUGGUUCUUGCGGUUAGGCUGUGGUGUAGGUUGGUGCUUGGGUUAGGUCUGGCGGUGUUUUUGUGCAACCCCUCCCGGGGGGCGGGGGGGCCAGCCUCCUGCUCUGUCUGCCGGGUCGGGGUGGGGUGGGGUGCGGUGGGAUGGAUGGGGGUGGUUGGUGGCGGUUUUGAGGUGUUUGCUUUCUGUUUUCUUCUCUUUUCUUCUCUUCUUGCCCUGUCAGGGUUCUGGUCUCGGGGACCAGGCUGUUUUCAGGCAGCAGGGGGGCAGCGCGUCUGCCCCUGUUCAACCUUGUAAGGAUGAUCCCUCAAAAAAAUCCACCGCCGGGGGCAGCACGCCAGGCCCAGGCUCCAAGAGCCGCCCCGUGUAGUGGACGUAGGACACAGCCCCCGCAGCGUUAGCCACCCACAGCUGGUCCAGGCUAACCCGCCACUGUGGCGGCGCCGCUGGCGGCUGAGUGGCUGGCUGCGGCGGAUGCUGUUCCACACCCGCGCUCCGCACGUGGCCGACCGCGGCCGCCAGCCGGGCAGGCAGCCCCGCUGGCGCCGGCGCGUCGCUGUACACCCACGCCCACGUGGUGGCGGAGUCCGGGCGCACAUGGGUAAGCAGCGCCCGGGUGAGCAUCUUCCAGGGUUGCCGGCCUGGCUGGGCAAGGAGGGCGAAAGUCUUAGCUUGCAGGGCAGACAGGAACGCAGGCAGGUCGACGUGGUUGACACCCCCGUCCUUGUACGGCAGACAUGCCGUUUCCCGCUUUGGCAGCAGGAGCGGGUUCCCGUGCGACACCAGGCUGGCGUCCUCAGCGUGCAUGGAGCGCGCAGCAAAGUGGUCCACCAGGUCGGUGAGCUCCUUCAGCUGCGCAGGCGACGGGUUGAGGAAGCUGAAGUGGUAGGCCAGCUUCGCCGCCAGCACCUGCUUCGCAAUGUGCACACGGCCAACGAGAGUCAGAGACAGGGCAGCCCACAGACGCGCCACAAACGCCAUGCCGCGAGCCCGCCGGGUGUACAAGUCAGCUGCAGCCGCAUCAGAGUCCCACGACAGGGGCACACCCAGGUGCGUCACGGCGCCAGUGGUAAACGGCACCCCGGUGUGUGGGCAAGGGCCCGUCAGGUGCGCAAACCUGCCAAGGCCCAUGGCCUUGCUCUUGUCCGGAUGGACACGGGCGUUGGACGCGCGGCAGAACAGCUGUACUGCCGCCAUCAGGACCGGCCCGUCCACCGCCGGGUCGCGCGCCGUGAGGGUCGUGUCGUCAGCGUGGUGGGCAGCAGGCGGCGCCGGCUCGCCGCUGGGUAACAGGGGCGUGCGCAGUGCCCCUUGCUCCACCUGCCGCCGCAGAAAGGACGUCAGUGGCUGCAUCUGGAUGACCCACAGGGGUGGUGAGGCGGUGCUGCCCUGCGGCAAGCCGUUCAGCACUGGGAAGGCGUCAGAGAGCAUCCCGUUCACACACACGCGGGCAGAGCCGUUGGCAGUGAGCAGGCGGAUCCAGCGCAGCAUGCGCGGCCCAAACCCAAGUCCCUCCGCGGACGCAUACAGCCACUGCCGGUGCACCCGGUCAUACGCCUUUUCUAUGUCCAAGAAGUACAGCGCACCACCCUGCCGUGGCGUGCCGUCCGCGCCCACGUCCAGGCGCAUCCAUUCGAUCAGGCCUUGGAGGUUUUUUUUUUUGAGGAAUCAUCCUUACAAGGUUGAACAGGGGCAGACGCGCUGCCCCCCUGCUGCCUGAAAACAGCCUGGUCCCCGAGACCAGAACCCUGACAGGGCAAGAAGAGAAGAAAAGAGAAGAAGACAGAAAGCAAACACCUCGAAACCGCCACCAACCACCCCCAUCCAUCCCACCCCAACACCCACCCGCCCCAGCCACGGCGCCCACACGCCUGCACAACCUGCCUUGACGGUGCAAGCCCACGCAAUAGCCUCAGGACAAUCAUUGGAAUGCCUGGGUGCCUGUGGCGGCGUGCCCCAACUCGGGUGCACCCAGGUAGCAUCGCAGGUGGUGAUACGGUUCGUGCCGUCCGCCCCCAGCCCACACACUAUAAGGACGGGUUUGUGCGUUACACCUGCUUUUUGUGCAUAAAGCAUGCGUUGGGGGUGGGACGCAUGCGUCCACGGAACGCAAGAAUGCAUGAGGGCCGGGCAGACGCAUGCGCCCCACGAAUACGCAAGCCCCCGACGCAAGCCCCCGACGCAAGCCCCGUCAAAGCCUUCACCUCAAGUACUUGCUCAACUCACAGAGUGUAGACACAUAGCGAACGAUGACUUUGCCAAACCUCGCGAUCGCCCAACUGCACUACACCCCUACCCACCCCCCCAUACAUGUAGCCCCUGGGCCACGGGGAGCCCGUGCACCUGCGCCACCUGCCUUGACAGUGCAAGCCCACGCAGCAGCCUCAGGACAUCAAGGGGCAUGCCUGGGAGCCUGUGGCUGCGUGCCCCCACGCCCUCGUAGCAUCGCAGGUGGUGAUCAGUGCUCGUAUCUUCCUUCUUUUCGACAGCUGCUGCAUGGCGCUGGGCGGUGGGGCGUUUUGUGUGGAAGGCACGUGAGCAGCUGUGUUUGUGGCACCUUCACAGGCGGCGGGGGCGGCUUUGCUGCUCAUCGCUUGGUCCUGACACGAGGUGCUUGUUCAGCUACCUCACCCAGCACGCUGUAACAGGGGCACAUCCCGUGCGGCAGAAUAUUUUGCUGUGCCAGAGCCGAAACGUGGGCUGGAGGCAACAGCCACCUCACCCCGCACGCUGUAACAAGGGCACAUCUCGUGCGGCGGAAUGUUGUGCUGUGCUGGAGCCGGAAGGUGGGCUGGGGGCAACAGCAGCAACCUCAUCCCGCACGCUGUAACACGACAAGGUUGUUUGCACCAGAUUCCCAGUACUAGCCAUCUGUACCAAGCUGUGUGUUUGUGUGGAGUUUCUGUUUUGAGAUGGAUGCACGGCACGAAUGGGAGAUUGAGAGAUUGCUGACACGGCCUGCCACACCCCUGGCUUGACACGAACCGUGCAUAGGUCGGGGGUGGAGCCCCCAGAAAACUUUUGGGAUGAAAGUUGCGGCGGCAGCGUGUUUCUGAGAAUUAAAGGUGCUCUAUUUCGGAAAUCUGUCAGCACCUGCCUUCUUAAGAUACGAGCAGUGGCCCAACCACUGGUGAUAUGGUUAGUGCCGCCAGCUCCAGCCCCCAGCCCCCACCCCCACCCCCACCUGCCCCGCCAUAGCGCCAGCGUGCCUGCGCCACCUGCUUUGAGGUGAAACCCCUCGCAGCAGCCUCAGGACAUCUAGCGGCAGGCCUGGGUGCCUGUGGGGGUAUGCUUCGACACGGGUGCGCCCAGGUCGGGUGCGCCCAGGUCGCAUGGCAUGUGGUGAGACUGCUGUCAUGGCGUUGGCCCCCAGCCCCCGGCCCCACUCCCACCGCCACGGUGCCAGGGUGCCUGCACAACCUGCCUUGAGGGUGCAAGCCCAGGCAGCAGUCUCAGGACGCUCAGUGGCAUGCCUGGGUGCCCAUUGUGGCGUGCCCUGACAUGGGUAGCAUUGCAGGUGGUGAUACGGUCAGUGCCGCCCGCCUCCAGCCCCCAGCCCCCACUCCCACCUGGCCGCCACGGCGCCCACGCUCCUGUGCCGCCUGCCUUACAGUGUAAGCCUGCCCAGCAGCCUGAGGACACAACAACAUAGGGUCAUUCCUGGUCAUAGCGCAGCAGAGCCCAGGGCCCAGCGGGUACACCACCUCACACGAAGGCCAGGGAGCAAUCCAACACCAAACCAAAAUCAUGCACACUCGCAAAACAAAAGCGCACACACACUGACAAGACACCUGAAGGCUGCGAGGCUUGGUCCAGGGACCCUCGCAGCCUCACUCCAUCCAGACCUCAGCUGAACCAGGGCAAGACGCCAGGGCAGACUAAGCCUACUAACUGAACAGGGUGGAAGCGCUGUAGGCUUAUCUUGACAUAAAAAAGUAGGGUCUAAACGGGAACCAAUCCCGUCUAAAUACGAGUGUUGUGGAAACGAAUGCGUACGUAGACCAGAGCGGAUGGCGGAGUGGGCUAGACGGGAUGGAAUCCCGCCCCCAGCCCACACACACCCACCGGCCCCGCCACGGCGCCCGUGCACCUGCGCCACCUGCCUUGACGGUGCAAGCCCACGCAGCAGCCUCAGGACAUCAAGGGGCAUGCCAAGGAGCCUGUGGCGGCUUGCCCCGACGCGGGCGCGCCCAGGCAGGAUCGCAGGUGGUGAUACGGUUUGGGUUGUCCGCCCUGCCUAUCUACGAUUUAGCGACCGCUAAUGAGCCGUCGUCUAUGAUAAACAUCAGAAGACAAGCAACAUUCUCCAAAGCUGCAAGAUGCCUUCAGCGAAAGCCAUGCACAAAAUGUUGCCAGCGACGCUCGUAUAAUGCAGCAGGAGCCCACACAGACUAGUCAUUGUUCUAUGCUCCAUAAGCUAUUGCCUGAACAGGGGAGGGUAACUCUGCGCAUGUGCUGUGAAACUUUCUUCAAUUGCGUUUGGACGGGAAGCUUUCCCGUCUGGACGGGAAGCCUUCCCGUCUAGACGGGAUGGGUUCCCGUCUAGACGGGAUGGGUUCCCGUCUAGACGGGAUGGCUUCCCGUCUAGACGGGAUGGGUUCCCGUCUAGACGGGAAGCCUUCCCGUCUGGACGGGUUGGAGUCCCGUCCAGACGAUACGCACAGGAACAUUUAUAUGUUUGCAGGGAUACUUAGUCCUCUGCAGACCAUUUCAGCCCUGUCAGGGAAUUGCAGACGCGACCCUGACAGGAUACCGCAGUUACCUGCAUGACAUUUGUACCCUGCAGAAUACAUAAAUUAUCUUGCAGAAGAAAAAACAUUCCUGGGAUCCCGUUUAGACGGGACUCCAACCCGUCCAGACGGGAAAGCUUCCCGUCCAAACGCAAUUGAAGAACGUUUCACAGCACAUGCGCAGAGUUACCCUCCCCUGUUCAGGCAAUAGCUUAUGGAGCAUAGAACAGGACAAUGACUAGUGUGGGCUCCUGCUGCAUUAUAUGAGCGUCGCUGGCAACAUUUUGUGCAUGGCUUUUGCUGAAGACAUCUUGCAGCUUUGGAGAAUGUUGCUUGUCUUCUGAUGUUUAUCAUAGAUGACGGCUCAUUAGCGGUUGCUAAAUCGUAGAUAGGCAGGGCGGACGACCCGAAUUGUAUCACCACCUGCGAUCCUACCUGGGUGCGCCCACGUCGCCACAAGCACCCAGUCAUGCACCUCGAUGUAAUGAUGCUGCUGGGCGGGCUUGCACCGUCAAGGCAGGUUGCGCAGGCUAACGGGCGCGGUGGCGGGUCCAGUGGGUGUGGGCGGGUGUUGGCUGGAAGCGCAGGCAUGUGGGCGCAGUGGCUGGGGCUGUGGGCAGGGGUACGGGCUGAGGGCGGACAGCACGAACCGUAUCGCCACCUGCGAUGCUACCUGGGCGCACCCGUGUCAGCGCACACCACCGUAGGCACCCCAGCAUGCCGCUUGAUGUAUUGAGGCUGCUGCGUGGGCUUGCACCGUCAAGGCUGGUCGUGCAGGCGUGCUGGCGCCGUGGGUGGGGCUGGGGGAUGGGGGCGAACAUCUUGAACCGGUGUCACCACAUGCGAUGCUACCUAGGCGCACCCGUGUCGGGACACGCCGUCAUAGGCAUUCAGACAUACACCUCGACGUCCUGAUGCUGCUUGGUGGGCUUGCACCGUCAAGGCAGGUGGCGCAGGCGCAUGGGCCCCCCGUGGCGGGGCGGGUGGGGGUAGGGGCUGGGGGCCGACAGCACGAACCGGUGUCACCACCUGCGAUACUACCUUGGCGCACCCGCGUCAGGGCACACCACCGUAGGCACCCCGGCAUGCCGCAUAAUGUCUUGAGGCUGCUGAGUGGACUUGCACCGUCAAGGCAGGUUGUGCAGGCGUGUGGGCGCCGUGGUUGGGGCGGGUGGGUGUUGGGGUGGGGGUGGGAGUGGGGGCUGGGGGUGGGGGGGCUGGGGGCCAACGGCACGAACCGGUGUCACCACCUGCGAUGCUGCCUGGGCGUGUUCGCGUCGGGGUACGCCGCCACAAGCACCCCGGCAUGCCGCUUGAUGUCUUGAGGCUGCUGCGUGGGCUUGCACAGUCAAGGCAGGUGGCGCAGGCGCAUGGGCCCCCCGUGGCCCAGGGGCUCCAUGGUUGGGCGGGUGGGGGUGUGGGCUGGGGGCGGACGGCACGAACCGUAUCACCACCUGCGAUGCUACCUGAAUGCCACCGUGUCGGGGCACACCACCACAUGCACCCAGGCAUGCCCCUGAAUGUCCUGAGGCUGCGACCCGGGCUUGCACCGUCAAGGCAGGUGGCGGGCGGCGGGGCCGGGUGGGGGUAGGGGCUGGGGGCGGACAGCACGAACCGUAUCGCCACCUGUGAUACUACCUUGGCGCACCCGCUCAGGGCACACCACCGUAGGCACUCCGGCAUGCCGCAUAAUGUCUUGAGGCUGCUGCGUGGGCUUGCACCGUCAAGGCAGGUUGUGCAGGCGUGUGGGCGCCGUGGCUGGGGCGGCGGGCAGGAUUAGGGGCUGGAGGCGGACAGCACGAACUAACCGUAUCGCCACCUGUGAUGCUACCUGGGCGUGUUCGCGUCGGGGCACGCCGCCACAGGCACCCAGACAUGGUACUGGAUGUCUUGAGGCUGCUGCGUGGACUUGCACAGUCAAGGCAGGUGGCGCAGGCGCAUUGGCCCCCCGUGGCCCAGGGGCUCCAUGGCGGGGCGGGUGGGGGUGUGGGCUGGGGGCGGACGGCACGAACCGUAUCACCACCUGCAAUGCUACCUGAAUGCCACCGUGUCGGGGCACACCACCACAUGCACCCAGGCAUGCCCCUGAAUGUCCUGAGGCUGCGACCCGGGCUUGCACCGUCAAGGCAGGUGGCGGGCGGCGGGGCCGGGUGGGGGUAGGGGCUGGGGGCGGACAGCACGAACUACACGAACCGUAUCGCCACCUGUGAUACUACCUUGGCGCACCCGCGUCAGGGCACACCACCGUAGGCACCCCGGAAUGCCGCAUAAUGUCUUGAGGCUGCUGCGUGGGCUUGCACCGUCAAGACAGGUUGUGCAGGCGUGUGGGCGCCGUGGCUGGGGCGGCGGGCAGGAUUAGGGGCUGGGGGCGGACAGCACGAACUAACCGUAUCGCCACCUGUGAUGCUACCUGGGCGUGUUUGCGUCGGGGCACGCCGCCACAUGCACCCAGACAUGGUACUGGAUGUCUUGAGGCUGCUGCGUGGACUUGCACAGUCAAGGCAGGUGGCGCAGGCGCAUUGGCCCCCCGUGGCCCAGGGGCUCCAUGGCGGGGCGGGUGGGGGUGUGGGCUGGGGGCGGACGGCACGAACCGUAUCACCACCUGCAAUGCUACCUGAAUGCCACCGUGUCGGGGCACACCACCACAUGCACCCAGGCAUGCCCCUGAAUGUCCUGAGGCUGCGACCCGGGCUUGCACCGUCAAGGCAGGUGGCGGGCGGCGGGGCCGGGUGGGGGUAGGGGCUGGGGGCGGACAGCACGAACCGUAUCGCCACCUGUGAUACUACCUUGGCGCACCCGCGUCAGGGCACACCACCGUAGGCACCCCGGCAUGCCGCAUAAUGUCUUGAGGCUGCUGCGUGGGCUUGCACCAUCAAGGCAGGUUGUGCAGGCGCGUGGGCGCCGUGGGUGGUGCGGUGGGUGGGAGUAGGGGGGGGCGGACAGCACGAACUAACCGUAUCGCCACCUGCGAUACUAACUGGGCGUGUUUGCGUCGGGGCACACCGCCACAGGCACCUCGGCAUGCCGCAUAAUGGCUUGAGGCUGCUGCGUGGGCUUGCACCGUCAAGGCAGGUUGUGCAGGCGUGUGGGCGCCGUGGCUGGGGCGGUGGGCGGGAGUAGGGGCUGGGGGCGGACAGCACGAACCGUAUCGCCUACCUGUGAUGCUACCUGGGCGUGUUCGCGUCGGGGCACGCCGCCACAGGCACCCAGACAUGGUACUAGAUGUCUUGAGGCUGCUGCGUGGACUUGCACAGUCAAGGCAGGUGGCGCAGGCGCAUGGGCCCCCCGUGGUCCAGGGGCUCCAUGGCGGGGCGGGUGGGGGUGUGGGCUGGGGGCGGACGGCACGAACCGUAUCACCACCUGCGAUGCUACCUGAAUGCCACCGUGUCGGGGCACACCACCACAUGCACCCAGGCAUGCCCCUGAAUGUCCUGAGGCUGCGACCCGGGCUUGCACCGUCAAGGCAGGUGGCGGGCGGCGGGGCCGGGUGGGGGUAGGGGCUGGGGGCGGACAGCACGAACCGUAUCGCCACCUGUGAUACUACCUUGGCGCACCCGCGUCAGGGCACACCACCGUAGGCACCCCGGCAUGCCGCAUAAUGUCUUGAGGCUGCUGCGUGGGCUUGCACCGUCAAGGCAGGUUGUGCAGGCGUGUGGGCGCCGUGGCUGGGGCGGCGGGCAGGAUUAGGGGCUGGGGGCGGACAGCACGAACUAACCGUAUCGCCACCUGUGAUGCUACCUGGGCGUGUUCGCGUCGGGGAACGCCGCCACAUGCACCCAGACAUGGUACUGGAUGUCUUGAGGCUGCUGCGUGGACUUGCACAGUCAAGGCAGGUGGCGCAGGCGCAUUGGCCCCCCGUGGCCCAGGGGCUCCAUGGCGGGGCGGGUGGGGGUGUGGGCUGGGGGCGGACGGCACGAACCGUAUCACCACCUGCAAUGCUACCUGAAUGCCACCGUGUCGGGGCACACCACCACAUGCACCCAGGCAUGCCCCUGAAUGUCCUGAGGCUGCGACCCGGGCUUGCACCGUCAAGGCAGGUGGCGGGCGGCGGGGCCGGGUGGGGGUAGGGGCUGGGGGCGGACAGCACGAACCGUAUCGCCACCUGUGAUACUACCUUGGCGCACCCGCGUCGGGGCACACCACCGUAGGCACCCCGGCAUGCCGCAUAAUGUCUUGAGGCUGCUGCGUGGGCUUGCACCAUCAAGGCAGGUUGUGCAGGCGCGUGGGCGCCGUGGGUGGUGCGGUGGGUGGGAGUAGGGGGGGGCGGACAGCACGAACUAACCGUAUCGCCACCUGCGAUACCAACUGGGCGUGUUUGCGUCGGGGCACACCGCCACAGGCACCUCGGCAUGCCGCAUAAUGUCUUGAGGCUGCUGCGUGGGCUUGCACCGUCAAGGCAGGUUGUGCAGGCGUGUGGGCGCCGUGGAUGGGGCGGUGGGCGGGAGUAGGGGCUGGGGGCGGACAGCACGAACUAACCGUAUCGCCUACCUGUGAUGCUACCUGGGCGUGUUCGCGUCGGGGCACGCCGCCACAGGCACCCAGACAUGGUACUAGAUGUCUUGAGGCUGCUGCGUGGACUUGCACAGUCAAGGCAGGUGGCGCAGGCGCAUGGGCCCCCCGUGGUCCAGGGGCUCCAUGGCGGGGCGGGUGGGGGUGUGGGCUGGGGGCGGACGGCACGAACCGUAUCACCACCUGCGAUGCUACCUGAAUGCCGCCGUGUCGGGGCACACCACCAGAUGCACCCAGGCAUGCCCCUGAAUGUCCUGAGGCUGCGACCCGGGCUUGCACCGUCAAGGCAGGUGGCGGGCGGCGGGGCCGGGUGGGGGUAGGGGCUGGGGGCGGACAGCACGAACUACACGAACCGUAUCGCCACCUGUGAUACUACCUUGGCGCACCCGCGUCAGGGCACACCACCGUAGGCACCCCGGAAUGCCGCAUAAUGUCUUGAGGCUGCUGCGUGGGGGCCGGGCGGCGGGGCUGGGUGGGCAUCAAUGGCUUGGUUCUGUGCUGUGUGCAUGCAAUAACUGCUGUAUGUGGCUGCAGGACCUACCGCGGCUCGUUAGGUGGAUUACCCAGGAGGCGUGGUGUUGGUGGGGAAUAAGUAGAAUAAGUUUGGGAUCAGUGGGCUUGACACCAGGCUCGAUGUCAAGGUAGUCAAGGCAGGUGUAAAUUGGUUGGUGUAAGAGGCCUGCUUGCAGUGUAGGGGAGGACAUCAAGUCGAUCACUGGACAUGUGAGGGGACAUGUGAGGGGACAUGUAUGUGAGGGGGCGGGUGAGGGGAUUUGGGCAUAACUAGAGUAACAGGGCAGGGGUACCAGGGGGCAACAAGGGAUACAAGUGGGAGAGUAGUUGAAGGGGGCCCAAACACCCUCAUGCGCUAACGCAGCCCUGAGCAUAAGAACUGUGAGAGACAAAUGUCUUGUAUCAAAAGAGCUGUCAUAUUGCUGUUGUGGAAAGUGUAUUGCUGUUGUCGAAAGUGUCAGGUUAGCCAGAUGCCUGGUGAAUUACUGUGUCAGGGGCCAUACAUGGUACUCAAGCAAAAUGUUCUCCCAUGCAUAAAGCAUAUAAAAGCUUUUGAAGUAGAGCUAGUAGAGCAGGACUUGUGGAGCCCAUGUUUGAUAGGGGUUGACGUGCUAAAUGGUGUCUGGGCAACUGCUUGUUGAUAGUGUUGGCUGGUAAUAGUUGUAGUAGUCUGUAGGAGCUGGGGCCCAAGGCUGUGAAACCCUGUUACAUCACACGUUACAAAGGUCUUGGGAUUCAUCUACACACUCCCCUGUGUGUGGCCCAAGUAGAUCUGCAGGGAAGUAUGGUAUGUUCCUGUGGCAGGAAAGUUCACACCGCUGUUCACAGCUACUCGGGCAUUUUAGUCCUGAGAGGGGCAGGAGCCAUCCCUCUAGGGCACCCACAGGUGGGCCAUGCAUUGCCACCUGCCAUACCUGCAUCAGCACCCCAACUCCUAGUCCCAGCCUGAUUAUACAAUGCACCAUGUGCCAACACUCCAUACAAAUGCUGGAAACACAAACAGCCAACUGCCCCACAGCCACCUGGACCCACAUAUCCCUCCCCCCCCCCCCGCCUCCUUAGGGGCACCCACAGGUGGGCCAUGCAUUGCCACCUGCCAUACCUGCAUCGGCACCCCAACUCCUAGUCCCAGCCUGAUUAUACAAUGCACCAUGUGCCAACACUCCAUACAAAUGCUGGAAACACAAACAGCCAACUGCCCCACAGCCACGUGGACCCACAUAUCCCUCCCCCCCCCGCCCGCCUCCUUAGGGGCACCAUCAGAUGGGCCAUGCAUUGCCACCUGCCAUACCUGCAUUGGCACCCCAACUCCUAGUCCCAGCCUGAUUAUUCAAUGCACCAUGUGCCAACACUCCAUACAAAUGCUGGAAACACAAACAGCCAACUGCCCCACAGCCACCUGGACCCACAUAUCCCUCCCCCCCCCGCCUCCUUAGGGGCACCCACAGGUGGGCCAUGCAUUGCCACCUGCCAUACCUGCAUCAGCACCCCAACUCCUAGUCCCAGCCUGAUUAUACAAUGCACCAUGUGCCAACACUCCAUACAAAUGCUGGAAACACAAACAGCCUACUGCCCCACAGCCACCUGGACCCACAUAUCCCUCCCCCCCCGCCUCCUUAGGGGCACCCACAGGUGGGCCAUGCAUUGCCACCUGCCAUACCUGCAUCGGCACCCCAACUCCUAGUCCCAGCCUGAUUAUUCAAUGCACCAUGUGCCAACACUCCAUACACAUGCUGGAAACACAAACAGCCAACUGCCCCACAGCCACCUGGACCCACAUAUCGCUCCUGCAUCCUUAUAAUGGGGCGGCUUGGUUUCUCAGGCAUUCUCUAAUGGUGGAGCGCCUAUCUUCAGCUCAGUUUCUGGGUCUCUCUCGUGGGGCGGCUUUGUGCUCAGGCGUUCUCUAAUGGUGGAGCGCCUCUCUUCAGCUCAAGUACUUGGCGUCUGCUUUAUCUGGCAGCCAGCCCCUUUCUUUGACAUGGGACGUUACAGGCAGGGGACCAGGCAACGACAAGGCGGGCAGCAAGCAACAGGCAGCAAGCAAAACCGCGCCCCUUAGACCACAGGAGGAGAAAGGACCCGCAAUGCAACCACACCAAACGGGAAGGGGAGCCAGGCACCUGCUNNNNNNNNNNNNNNNNNNNNNNNNNNNNNNNNNNNNNNNNNNNNNNNNNNNNNNNNNNNNNNNNNNNNNNNNNNNNNNNNNNNNNNNNNNNNNNNNNNNNGGCAGCGGCAAUGGACCAGGUAGGCGCAGUAAAGGCAGACCCAUUUUGGUACAGUGUGACACCGUACUCUUUUGCCAGGGUCAUCUGUUUCAGCGUCGUCAGGUGGUGUGACCUAUGGGCUGGGAGAAGGUGGGCCUGUGUGGAGCCAGCUAUGCUUGCCUGGCGCGGCAGAAGGGCUCGGGUUACUAUCCCAAGACGGCCCGAGUCAUUUAGGGCAAGGACCAGGGCCCGCUGGGCCACGCGCGCGUAUUGCGGCAGGAGGGAGCCCAGGCCCAAGCCGUAUUCGUCGGCGGGCAGGAGGGAGGUCCGGGUGGGGAAGCUGCGGGGGAGUCCGUAGCAGCGCUUUGCAUAACCAGCCAGGGUAGUGUCGAGCGUUGUUAUGUCCUGUUUUGUGAAGGGCAUUGCUGCGAAUCCAUAUGCAACUGUGGUGUGCACGCACUGUUGUAUCAUGCGCAGGCGUUGUGCCGGUGUCGCCAGGGAUGUGGCAAUGGCUGUGCCCUUGUCCUUAACAAUCUCGGUGACUCUUGCGACAUGUGCCGACCAGUCCAGCGAGAACGUGAGCUGCACUCCCAGGUACUUGUACGGCUGGGUCGGGGGGAAGUACGGGACAGGGGUCGUGCCAAUCUUAAUUGUGUUGGUCAUGUUGCGGCGCAUGGCGGCAAGGGUAGCUUUUCCUGUGGGCCCGUCAAGGUUGGGGUCCGAGCGAGAUUUGUCGUGCCAGAUGGCGGUGGUGGCACACUUGGUGUGAUUGACACGCAGGCUCGCCCACUCGGCGUAAGAUGCGAUUUUGUCACAUUGAACCUGCAGGUCGUCGAGCGAGUUGGUGAGCGCCGCCAGGUCGUCUGCGUACGCGGCGGCACUGCAAUGGUAUUGCAGGUUUUCGCUGGGGGUCAGGCAGCCGUAGUGGUAGCCCCGUCCACCCGCAUGGAGCCAGCGGACAAGAGGUUCCAUGAACAGAAUAAAGAGCACAGGUGAGAGUGUAUCACCUUGCACGGUGCCUCGCUCUAUAGGAAUGGCGGAUGUGCUUCCGUGUUCGGUGCGGAUGCGGGUGGUCGCAUGUGCAUACAGGUUGCGGACUGCGCGGAUCAGGUCCGUUGGCAGCCCAAGGUCAAACAUUAUUUGUAGUAAUCGGUCCUGGUCGAUUGUGUUAAACGCGGAGCUAUAGUCCACGUAUACCGCAUAGACAUCUUUUCCAAACAGUGCGGCAUCCUCAAGGGCAUGUACCAAAUUUAGGACCUGCCUUUCGGUGUUGCAGUAGGCACGGAAGCCUUCCUGCGCUUCACUGAAUAGCUGGAGGGGGCCAGCCAGUUCGCCAAUGCCCAAGGUAAGCAUGGACGUGUACAGCUUGUAGCAGGUAUUUGCGAGCGCAAUGGGCCGUUUGUUUUUUAUGUCCAGGGCGUCUCCAGGUUUGGGGAGUAGCACGGUCUCCGAUGCGGCCCAGGUUUCAGGUAUUUGUGACUUGACGUACAUGAUUUGCAGGAUACAGUGGAGGUUGCGCUUCAUGCCUGAUGGCAGGAUACGGAGCAGUUCGUUUGGUAUGCCGUCAGGGCCUGUCGCCUUGUUUCUGGAGAGGUGAGAAAUGCACUGCUCAAAAUUUGCCGUGUCUGCCAUGCUGGGGAGCAUGGAGUGUGUGUCAGGGUGCCGGUUGCGGUCCAGUGUGAAUUGAUCUGUUGCGUCGGCUUUCUCAAAUGGGUAGCCGCGUGUGGCGUUGCUGGGUAGUCGGAAGUCCCCAGUGCGGGUGCCGCGUGGUGGGGCGGACAGCUUUCGGAAGUGGGUUUCGAGUAUGGCGAGGAUGCUGGUGGAGUCAGUCGUCACCUCCCCAGUUUCUGGGUUCCGGACCGCUGGGAGACCCCGUUCCAUGUCUUCCUUCUGAAAGAUUCUCUUGUGCCCCUGUGCAGGGCGCGUGGCCAGGGUAUGUUGCAGCGCUGUGGCAGCGGCCUCUCGCUGGGCUUUGGCGCGGUCCGCCACUAGCUGGCGGUGCUCGGCCUGGCAGGCCUUUAUUUCGUUCCGCAGCUUUGCUGCCGCAUUGGCGGCGUCAACCUCAGGUAGGGCCUGGGGCCCUUGCGUGAGGUUUGUCAGUUGUGUCUUCAGGGCCACUUCCUUGUCCCAUAGGGGCUUUAGCACCCGUGCGGUGGAGCGUGAUGCGUGGUGUUUGCCAGUGAAGGGGGCUUUCCGGGUGCACUCUUCAAGGAGGCAUGUUAGCCCGGUGUCCAGUGCGGAGGCAAGUUGUUCUGCAAGUUGGUUGAUAUCGGCCUUCUGGAUGCUCGUGUCCUGCGCCAGGUCUCGGUGCAUGACGCUGGCGGGGUAGCCUGUGGGGUCCGUGCUGUGCCUUGUGAGUGCAUGUUCAAUUGAUUGCGUUGCCUGCCUUGUUGCGGAAUGCAGGUCGGCUGUUGCUUCCACCAAGGCUUCCUCCACUCGGGGAAAGCCGCUCAUCCGAAUCUGGUCCGAAGUUGGUCCGAAGAUCUGUCCGAAACCUGAUCCGAAGCCUGGUCCGAAAGACCAUCCGAAGCUGGUCCGAGUUCCUGUCCGAAAGACCCCACCCCUGUCCGAAGUUUUUGUCUCCGAAGCUGGUCCGAAGUCGGUCCGAAUCUGGUCCGAAUAGCAUCCGAAUUACAAGUAUUUCGGACACUUUUGUCGGAUGCCAAGAUUCGGACGCAAUGUUCGGACCAGACCGGCCAUCCGAAUGGCAAUUCGGACGCGCCCAGCCCCAUUUCGGACACGCCCAGCUGUUGAUUCGGACGCACCCAGCCCCAUUUCGGACAUGCCCAGGCGUCAAUUUGGACACGCCCAACACCAUUUCGGACGCCGCCACCACCCGCUGCUGCCCAGUGCCCCGCCUGCUGCGCUUUUGUGGUGUCUACAGACACCGUUGCAUGUCCUGUCAUGCCCUUGUCAUGUAGCAGCGGCUCCCCUGCCCUUGUUCAACCCUGUACACAUACCCUUUUUGCUUGCUCCUGGGUCCCUUUGGCUACCUCGUCGCGCUCCUCGGCCCUACACAUGCGCCUCCAUGUUUGCGCACAUAUCACCUGCAUACACAGCACCACCGGCGUUGCAAGAGGCAUGGUGACAAGCCUUUCCCCGAGAUACAUGCUGUAUCUCACAUGCUGUAUACAUGCCCUGUCCGUUGAGCUGCCCACUGCACACAUGUCUUGGUGCUCCUUUUCAUGUGGAUUGCAUCACGAAAUCUGACUUACCACCAAAACGCAAAAGCGCCAUUGCCAGCAGCACAUGCACCGAUGCCGAGACGAAGGUUGACAUGAGAAUAGGGCGGCCGGGGAAUUGCAAGCAGAUAUUUGCAUGCAUAAGCAAUUGCAAACUAUUAGGACCCCGUGCGAAAGCGCAGGCAGGGCAGACGAAUGGUUGUUGACCGCGACAGGAAAACACUGCUGUAGACGUUUUGAGCUGAUACAAUGCGAGUUCUCAGUCAAAAACUUACAUUCUUGGGCCGUGAGCCUGUUUGGCCUUGAAUUUCGUGCAGGUCGGCGAAGGUCAGCGACAAAUCCUCCACUUUGACCAAGUUUGUAGCACCUCCGCCAACCCCUCAGGCAUGCUCGCAAGCUUGUGUCUAACAUAGUUGCUAUGAAUAGCAUCGUGCAGUAUCAUAGAGGGUUUGAGAACGUGGAACACUGCAUGCCGAUAUCGCUUGCAACAGAGAUAGGCUGUAACAGGCUAGCGAUACAUUUAACAACUUGUUAGUAUUAAAUCUGUAGUGUAUAGUAUGAGUCUUAUAAGAGAGUCAUACUAUUAAGUUGAGAAGCUGAAUGUCGGGUCUCCCCAUGCAGCAGCGCUGCCCCAUUGCGCAUGCCAGCUCGCCUCCCUUCUGGUAAUGCCAUUGCUAGGACGCUUAAUCCAAUGUAUGCGGCUGCGUCGGAUGCGGGCAUGGGAUGCAUGUGCCUGCCGCGCAGAUGGGGCCACACAAGCAGGCCACGCCCAGAAACACACUUCCCCACAGCAUACGCACACAGGACACGCCCCGCUGGGCUGCCAGCUUGAAGACACGCACAGUUGGCCAUCGUGCUGUGUUAGGCCAAGCGAUGGGCGUUGGUUGCGUCGGAUGCGGGCAUGGAUGGGAUGCAUGUGCCUGCCGCUCAGGUGGGGCCACACAAGCAGGCCACGCCCGGAAACACAGUUUCCCACAGCGCACACACACAGAACACGCCCCGCUGGGCUGCCAGCUUGAAGACACGCACAGUUGGCCAUUGCGCUGUGUUGAGUCAAGCAUUGGGCGCUGGUUAUGUCCGAUGCGGGCAUGGGAUGCAUGUGCCUGCCGCGCAGAUGGGGCCACACAAGCAGGCCACGCCCAGAAACACACUUCCCCACAGCAUACGCACACAGGACACGCCCCGCUGGGCUGCCAGCUUGAAGACACGCACAGUUGGCCAUCGUGCUGUGUUAGGCCAAGCGAUGGGCGCUGGUUGCGUCGGAUGCGGGCAUGGAUGGGAUGCAUGUGCCUGCCGCUCAGGUGGGGCCACACAAGCAGGCCACGCCCAGAAACACUCUUCCCCACAGCAUACGCACACAGAACACACCCCGUUGGGCUGCCCGCGUGGAGACACACGCAGUUGGGCAUUGUGCUGUGUUGGGCCAAGUGACAAACAACAAGCACCCCGCCCACGCCCACAGCAUUGCCCUUGCUCACACCCUUGCACUUGCCCCUGCCCCUGUACACGCAAACGCGCACGCAUGCACGCAAGCACGCACGCACACACGCACACAGGUGCACACCCACGCGCACGCACACGCACACACGCCCGCACAAGCGUGCACACACACCCACAAAUGCACAAGCUCAUGCUCAUGUACGCACAUACGCGUGCGCGUCAAUACACACGCACCUCGUGUACACACGAGCACACGCAUACACAAGCCCACAUAUGCACACACACACACAUACUGUCCUACGCGUAAUGUUUUCCUUGUGCUCUUUAACACACACACACACACACAUGCGCACACACACACACACACACACACACACACACACACACACACACACACACACACACACACACACACGCCUUUGGCAGAAGGUACGCUGGGAAUGGUGACACUUUGAGACGCUGUGGCGGUUGGCCAUUGACGCAGUGCCGCUGCCGGGAAACUCGCAUACGCCGUUGGCUCGCCGUGAGCCAUGCGGCUGUGGGCAGCACGGCCAUGGGGGCGCCGCGGCGGAGGCACACGCCGCCGCCGCGCCCACGCCACGGCAGCACCACUUCUGGGAUUGCGCGGUGGCGAAGGCCGUUGUGGCGCAGAUUAACGCACACAACCCCGGUCCGGCUCCCAUCAGCCAAGCCCAGCUGUGGCUGGUCCAGGCGCCGCCGGGUUUUCAGCAGUGUGUUUGGGACAUGGUGGUGAUGGACACGCCUGCGAGUGGAUUGCCUCUUUAAUGUCUACUAUCAAUAGCUACUCGGCAUUAGGUGAGGUGUGAGCAUCAGGGGAUAAAGAAUUCGAGGUGUACGCGACGAACGGAAAACCCACCGGGGUCGAUGGGUUUUUUUCGUUUCGCACACAAGCCGUAUUCCUCAAUUCUUAUUGUCUGUACCACUUUAUAGAGCCAAACUGUAUUCGUUUGUCAUCAACAAUGCAUCCAACACCAGCCGCAGACUGUGCGAGGAGGGAUUGAUUUCGAACUUAGCUGGCAGACCUCACUAGAAUGACUGUCUUCUCCCGGUUCGGUUGCCUUGGGAACCCCACUCAAAUGCUACAUGAGCUUGGUCGGGCAGUGGAGCGUGCGCGGCAUUGGAAGUCCACUUUCAAGCGGCAAUUCUUCCUCGCGGCAGUUUCGCUGGGGAAGUGUGAGCCCGGCAGCCAGCUGGUGGUCUACAAGGAUGGCGUGGAGUACACCACACUCGGGGAAAGCCGCUCAUCCGAAUCUGGUCCGAAGUUGGUCCGAAGAUCUGUCCAAAACCUGAUCCGAAGCCUGGUCCGAAAGACCAUCCGAAGCUGGUCCGAGUUCCUGUCCGAAAGACCCCACCCCUGUCCGAAGUUUUUGUCUCCGAAGCUGGUCCGAAGUCGGUCCGAAUCUGGUCCGAAUAGCAUCCGAAUUACAAGUAUUUCGGACACUUUUGUCGGAUGCCAAGAUUCGGACGCAAUGUUCGGACCAGACCGGCCAUCCGAAUGGCAAUUCGGACGCGCCCAGCCCCAUUUCGGACACGCCCAGCUGUUGAUUCAGACGCGCCCAGCCCCAUUUUGGACACGCCCAGCUGUUGAUUCGGACGCACCCAGCCCCAUUUCGGACAUGCCCAAGCGUCAAUUUGGACACGCCCAACACCAUUUUGGACGCCACCACCACCCGCUGCUGCCCAGUGCCCCGCCUGCUGCGCUUUUGUGGUGUCUACAGACACCGUUGCAUGUCCUGUCAUGCCCUUGUCAUGUAGCAGCGGCUCCCCUGCCCUUGUUCAACCCUGUACACAUACCCUUUUUGCUUGCUCCUGGGUCCCUUUGGCUACCUCGUUGCGCUCCUCGGCCCCACACAUGCGCCUCCAUGUUUGCGCACAUCCCUAUGGCACCCAAAUGGUGGUAAGGAUCCAAAAACGGGGGUGACGAUCCCCGGACAGGGGGUAACGAUUGUUUCGGGCCCGCACGGCCUGGCACGCCCAGGACGCAAGCCAAGUGGUGCUGUGGUCACAUCUUAGCUACUUGUCAUGCAUACGCACAUUGCAGACUGGGCGGAGUGCCUUGCGUCUCCGACAAGUGAACAUGCCGACAUUCUAGUCUGCAAAGUGCGUAUUGUAGUGACAGUUUGUGUUAAAACAGUCUAUAAUGUGAAGCCUUAAACUUAUGUAGUCUUUGCGCUCGUGAACGAGGAAGUCUGGGGGCUGUAGGCCGACUGUGUGACAUUGUGACAGGGACCCUUGGGCGUGGUAACGACCCUAAGCCAGGGGUAACGGGGUUCCUGCAUGGGGUUCUCGCGGGCCUGACUUAACAAGCAGCAUAGAGCGGCCCCUGAUACUAAUACACAUAUACUGAUAUAGUACCAUACAUAUACUGAUACACUGCACUUCAUGCCGGUGCCGCUGCACUUCUGUUCCUCUCCCCCACUUUGCUCUCUCGCGCUUGCUACUUCUCUUUGUAACACAAAUUUAUGCUAGCUCAAAUGUCAGUAGAACAAGAGCUGGCGGCAGACGCUGCUUGGCUGGCUUGGGACGCGAGUCCUCACGCUGCUGACUGCUCGUUGACCGGCUUGGCAACGCUGCUCACACGUCAGCUGCAGCCAGCUAUUACUUGAGAGAAACGACUAUGCCUCAUAAUCUAUCAGCUGCGCUUCAAAUGUCCGACCGAGAAGUCUCGGCGGUCGCCGGCGUCAACAACGCCAUUCAACAUCGUGUUCUGUCAACAUCACCCUCGCCCCGCACGCCAGAGUCCGCAGGUUAGUCUGCAGGUUAGUCCGCAGGUUGAAUGACGAUGGGAUGCGUUGAACCUAGUGGUACCUCGCAAGCCAGUGUGCAUGGUUCAUCUUCUCGCGCUGUGUUGGGUUGUUUGGUGGAGCCCCCGCCUACAACUAGUGACUGUCUGCUGCCUCCCUUACCAGCGCUCGCUGUAAGGUGUUUUUAUGGCUCCCUUGCCACGGUGCCUUGUGUCUCACAUACCACCCCGCCCCCCUCCGCACGCACACACCCUGCCCCGCGACAGCUUGCUGCCCAACCCCUGUUGUACCCUAUGGACCGUAUGGUUGGCUGGACUGCCCCUACACCUCCAGCAUUGUGCUCAUCAACGGUGAGUGUCCGUGACACGUGUGGGCGCGCACACAUGCACAUGUGCACACAGACACGCCUUGUGUGGUAGGCCCCGUGCACUGCCAAGCACUCUGUCCAUGGCUGGCCUUGACAUGCAUUGGCACCUACCCGUCUUGUGGCAGACGAUUAACUGGGUGUGUCUAUGUGUGUGCACGCAUGCAUGCAGUCGCUGCCGGUGGAAGCAAAACUACAGGAGCCAGCGUGACACCAGCUGUCUGGCGCUAGAGAUGGAGGCGGGCGCGGCGGCGCCAGUGGCAUAGUUUGGCAUGGUAGCUGUGGUGGCGGCGGGCGUCAAGGUGGUGGGUCAGAGACGUUGUGCCCAGCAGACAUGCAAGUGGUUGCUGCCAGUGGCUAGUUGCACGUUCACAUGCAGACAUGACUAGGCGUAUUGUUGCAUGUACAUAUGGACUUGCGGUAGUGUUGCAUAAGUGUUGCAUGAGCAUCUGCACUUGUCGUGCUAUCAAGCCUUGACAGAUGGCUAGCAUGUGGAGUAGCGGUAGGACUACAUAGUUCUUACGUUAGUACUGAGGUAGGCCUUCAGCAAAGCACAAGGCUGCCAUGUAACGGGCGUCAAAGUGAUGGUUACUGGUGUGCCUUGUAGACCGUGACAAGGCUGUUACCAUGGCUGGUUAAGAUGGUAAGCAGAUCGUAGUGAGAUCGUAACGAUGCCGGAGGGGUAACGAUCUACGACCUAGGUAACAGCGAUCGUAACGAUCGUUUGGGUGCCAUAGGGCAUAUCACCUGCAUACACAGCACCACCGGCGUUGCAAGAGGCAUGGUGACAAGCCUUUCCCCGAGAUACAUGCUGUAUCUCACAUGCUGUAUACAUGCCCUGUCCGUUGAGCUGCCCACUGCACACAUGUCUUGGUGCUCCUUUUCAUGUGGAUUGCAUCACGAAAUCUGACUUACCACCAAAAUGCAAAAGCGCCAUUGCCAGCAGCACAUGCACCGAUGAGACGAAGGUUGACAUGAGAAUAAGGCGGCCGGGGAAUUGCAAGCAGAUAUUUGCAUGCAUAAGCAAUUGCAAACUAUUAGGACCCCGUGCGAAAGCGCAGGCAGGGCAGACGAAUGGUUGUUGACCGCGACAGGAAAACACUGCUGUAGACGUUUUGAGCUGAUACAAUGCGAGUUCUCAGUCAGAAACUUACAUUCUUGGGCCUUGAGCCUGUUUGGCCUUGAAUUUUGUGCAGGUCGGCGAAGGUCAGCGACAAAGGCCUCCACUUUGACCAAGUUUGUAGCACCUCCGCCAACCCCUCAGGCAUGCUCGCAAGCUUGUGUCUAACAUAGUUGCUAUGAAAUAGCAUCGUGCAGUAUCAUAGAGGGUUUGAGAACGUGGAACACUGCAUGCCGAUAUCGCUUGCAACAGAGAUAGGCUGUAACAGGCUAGCGAUACAUUUAACAACUUGUUAGUAUUAAAUCUGUAGUGUAUAGUAUGAGUCUUAUAAGAGAUCAUACUAUUAAGUUGAGAAGCUGAAUGUCGGGUCUCCCCAUGCAGCAGCGCUGCCCCAUUGCGCAUGCCAGCUCGCCUCCCUUCUGGUAAUGCCAUUGCUAGGACGCUUAAUCCAAUGUAUGCGGCUGCGUCGGAUGCGGGCAUGGGAUGCAUGUGCCUGCCGCUCAGAUGGGGCCACACAAGCAGGCCACGCCCGGAAACAAGGUUUCCCACAGUGCAUGCACACAGAACACACCCCGUUGGGCUGCCCGCGUGGAGACACACGCAGUUGGGCAUUGCGCUGUGUUGGGCCAAGCGAUGGGCGCUGGUUGCGUCGGAUGCGGGCAUGGGAUGCAUGUGCCUGCCGCGCAGAUGGGGCCACACAAGCAGGCCACGCCCGGAAACACAGUUUCCCACAGUGCACGCACACAGAAGACACCCCGUUGGGCUGCCCGCGUGGAGACACACGCAGUUGGGCAUUGCGCUGUGUUGGGCCAAGUGACAAACAACAAGCACACGCCCACGCCCACAGCCUUGCCCUUGCUCACACCCUUGCACUUGCCCCUGCCCCUGUACACGCAAACGCGCACGCAUGCACGCAAGCACGCAUGCACGCACGCACACAGGUGCACACCCACGCGCACGCACACGCACACGCGCCCGCACAAGCGUGCACACACACCCACAAAUGCACAAGCUCAUGCUCACGUACGCACAUACGCGCACCUCGUGUACACACGAGCACACGCAUACACAAGCCCACAUAUGCACACACACACACUGUCCUACACGUAAUGUUUUCCUUGUGCUCUUUAACACACACACACACACACACACACACACACAUGCGCACACACACACACACACACACACACACACACACACACACACACACACACACACACACACACACACACACACACACACACACACACACACACACACACACACGCCUUUGGCAGAAGGUACGCUGGGAACGGUGACACUUUGAGACGCUGUGGCGGUUGGCCAUUGACGCAGUGCCGCUGCCGGGAAACUCGCAUACGCCGUUGGCUCGCCGUGAGCCAUGCGGCUGUGGGCAGCACGGCCAUGGGGGCGCCGCGGCGGAGGCACACGCCGCCGCCGCGCCCACGCCAUGGCAGCACCACUUCUGGGAUUGCGCGGUGGCGAAGGCCGUUGUGGCGCAGAUCAACGCACGCAACCCCGGUCCGGCUCCCAUCAGCCAAGCCCAGCUGUGGCUGGUCCAGGCGCCGCCGGGUUUUCAGCAGUGUGUUUGGGACGUGGUGGUGAUGGACACGGCUGGGAGUGGAAUGCGUCUUUAAUGUCUACUAUCAAUAGCUACUCGGCAUUAGGUGAGGUGUGAGCAUCAGGGGAUAAAGAAUUCGAGGUGUACGCGACGAACGGAAAACCCACCGGGGUCGAUGGGUUUUUUUUCGUUUCGCACACAAGCCGUAUUCCUCAAUUCUUAUUGUCUGUACCACUUUAUAGAGCCAAACUGUAUUCGUUUGUCAUCAACAAUGCAUCCAACACCAGCCGCAGACUGUGCGAGGAGGGAUUGAUUUCGAACUUAGCUGGCAGACCUCACUAGAAUGACUGUCUUCUCCCGGUUCGGUUGCCUUGGGAACCCCACUCAAAUGCUACAUGAGCUUGGUCGGGCAGUGGAGCGUGCGCGGCAUUGGAAGUCCACUUUCAAGCGGCAAUUCUUCCUCGCGGCAGUUUCGCUGGGGAAGUGUGAGCCCGGCAGCCAGCUGGUGGUCUACAAGGAUGGCGUGGAGUACAUCGGCACCCUGCCCGCAACAGCAAAGCCGUUCCUGCUCUUCGGCACGACGUUUGUCCCCAGCAGGCCGCGGGGGGCGCCAGCGCCCGAGGUGGGCAGCAGAGGACACUGUGACCAGUCCAGCUGCAGACACUUAGGCACCCCCUUAAAUGUACUGCUGUUUACGCAGAACCCCCCCGUGCCAGUGACCUUGAUGGAGCUCACGGGGUCCAAGUCAAAGCCCGAGCGGGCAUGCGACUACGUGCGGGAGGGCGGCGCCCUGCUGGUGCAGGAAAUCAUGGCGGGGCAAGAGGGGUGGCUGCAGGCAGACCUGAGCGGCAAGGCAAGAAUGCUGCUGGAGAUUGCCGCACUGGAGGGCGCUCCCACACCGGGCACCCUCGCAGCAAACAACCCCACGUACAACUACGCGGUCCGCGCUUUUGAGGAUGCCGCACAGGUGCGAAAGGCUUCCCGGUGAUUACAGGUGCUGCCCAACUACGGCCAUGUUGUACUGCUCCUGACCCACGUCCUCCGAUAGAUUAUGAUGGCCACUCACACACUUAACCAUGCAGGAGCUGACCAACAAGGCCGUGGCGCAGCAGCUGGCAGAGGAGCGGGCACAGGCACAGCAGCUGGCAGAGGCGCAGGCGCAGGUGCAGCAGCUGGCAGAGGCGCGGGCGCAGGCGCAGCAGCUGGCAGAGGCGCAGGCGCAGGUGCAGCAGCUGGCAGAGGCGCAGGCGCAGGCGCAGCAGCUGGCAGAGGCGCAGGCGCAGGCGCCGGUGGUACAGGGGUGGUCACCCGAAGACCAACAGCCUGGCGGCUCGGCUGGGCCCGCGGAGUACGUGCCGGCUACAGAGCUCACUGAGGCGGGCAGUGAUGCCGGCACCGACACGACACAGGACACAAAGCAGCUCGGCGCCGCCAGUACCCGCACCAGCGAGCCGCCUGCACGUCGCGUACCUGCUUCUUUGACCCAGCAGCGUAUGGCUGGGGAGGUCAGCAACAGUGGCGCAAGUGGUGAACCACCGAGAUUUACCGUUGCAAGGUCAAGGAGGUGCCACCUGCCCUGCAGUGCGGCCUGGGCCUUGCCGCCGUGCGUCUGCCGGCAACGCUUACAAGGCUGAUCAACCCUCGCCUGAUCGCGGAGCUGGCGUCGCUGGCGGACAAACGCGGAGAGCAGAUCUUCCAGCGCAUCUCAGCACUGCAGGGCGUGCAGGCGGAGAUCCGGAUGAGCGUGGGGACGGGCCAGCGGGUUCAGGUGCUGUGGAAGGACCUCGCGGGCAGCGCUGGGCUCCUGGUGCUCUGCGACAAACUGCGACCGUUGCUGGAGGAGGUCGUGACAGCGGCAGACCCGAAGGGUGAGCUGGGGCUGCACCUGGAGGACGCCGUGCUGCUGGCGAACCUGCCCGGCACUCGUCCGGUUGCCGAGCAGGUGCCCCACUACGACAUGGCGCCAGGGGAGCCCGGGUGGUUCAUCAUGCUCGCCCUCCAGCCGGCAAGCCUGCUGGUGGCGCAGGCCAGUCAGCACGAGGUCCUGCUGUGGGGCCGCGCGUACACCGCAGCACAGGAGGCGGGCCGGACUGCAGCUGUGCUGAAGGACCUCUGCGCCAGCACCCCCCACCGGCGGCUGGUGCGCCUGCAGCUGCCGGUGGGCGAGUUGCUGUUCGUGCACUCCAACCUCGUGCAUGCAGGCGACGCCGGGCGACUGGAUGGCAGCUACUCCCUGCGGCUGCACUGGUUCGUGAAGAGUGCGAAAACAACGAACAACACCCACCUGCCGCGCCAGAUCCACGUGGAGCUCGAGAAGCGCUUUGUGUGAUGGCUCAGACACACUCAGGAUGAAGGGGCGGGGCGGGGCGGGGCGGGGCGGGGCGGGGCGGGGCGGGGCGGGGCGGGGCGGGGCGGGGCGGGGCGGGGCGGGGCGGGGCGGGGCGGGGCGGGGCGGGGCGGGGCGGGGCGGGGCGGGGCCGGGUGGCGGGGCGGCCACAUUGGGAAGGUGAAUAUGCUUGUCAAUUAGGUUGUGUGGGAAAUAGAACAGGUUCAUCAGUGUGGCGGCAAGACAAACCAAGUUGACACGCGCUGUCACUCGUCUGGGUUCUGUCUGUGUUGCACCCUAGCAUUCUUACGGCUUCGUCGUCAGGGUAAAAGCUUGUCCCCUUGACAUAUGAACAGUUUGUGUGGCGAGGUUGUCAUGACCAGGGACUGGAGCGAGAUUAGAGAUGGGCCAGGGCGGGCCCCCUGACACCUCAGCACUGUUUAGUCCAGAAGUUCCCGGUUCUAAUUAAGCCUACUUUUUGGUGGUAGUUGCGACAUCAUUAUCUGACACCGUGCGGAAGUGAAGGUGGGGGUGGGUGGGGGCAGCAGUUGUUUGUUUGCUGCAAUCGCACGUCCAUGGACGCAACUCUAAACUGCUGGUUCUACGGACUGAAACGUUUCAGUCCGUAGAACCAGUACUGUGUGAGAAUCAAGAAGCCACUAGCAAAGCUUAAAGUUACAGGAAUUACUAUGUUGGCGGGCGGCCCUCCUUUGGGCCGGCCAUCCGAAUCAAUCGGCCUGUCCGAAAUGGGCCGCCCAGGCCUCUGGGCUGGGCGCCCAGACUGCCCCUCCCAUCCGAACCUCCCGGUCUGAACUUUUCGGACCGGCUUCGGACCAGCUUCGGACCAGGUUCGGACGUCAAACCCCGGUUUCGGACGCCUUGGUUUUCCCCGAGUGAUAUGGCCACAAGCAAAGCGUCGUUGCAUGCACAAACCAUCUCAUCCCAGCCAGCCGCCGAAUGCAUGCGUGCAUCCCUGCUGCCAGCCUACCGUGGAUCAACUGCCUGCUAUCUAUCUAGUUGCGUGAGUCCGCCUACGACCGUACUGAUCCCCAUAAUGUACCACCACGCCUGCCCUGGCGACCUGGCUUGUCGCAGCUUGUCCCAGGCCUGAUUGGUGGUGCACGGGCAGCUCCAGGGCCAUUCUCCUGGAGGAUGUGGACUGUGAUGGAGACGACCUGCUGGACUCGGUGUGUUACGACCUGGCGGGCAAUCCAGGCAUCAUCGGCUCAGGGAUUGACUGCACGGACACCUGGCCCUCCGUGGCAGCCUCCUAUUGCCCGCCUGUUUUCAACGGUACGAACGCUAGCUAUGACGGGCACGCGCACGGGCAUAUGGCAAUGCAUAUAGAUGCACGUACGACCACCUGCACGCAAAUCCUAUACUGCCUAUAAUCAGAAUCUUUGCGCCUGAUAUGAGUGAUGCUUGCUCCUUUCCUGACCCGGCCUGCCCUUCCCCACCGCUUCUCAAUUAGGGCAGGGCACCAUCAGAUGGGCCACACAUUGCCACCUGCCAUACCUGCAUCAGCACCCCAACUCCUAGUCCCAGCCUGAUUAUACAAUGCACCAUGUGCCAACACUCCAUACAAACGCUGGAAACACAAACAGCCAACUGCCCCACAGCCACCUGGACCCACAUAUCCCUCCCCCCCCCCCGCCUCCUUAGGGGCACCAUCAGAUGGGCCACACAUUGCCACCUGCCAUACCUGCAUCAGCACCCCAACUCCUAGUCCCAGCCUGAUUAUACAAUGCACCAUGUGUCAGCACUCCAUACAAAUGCUGGAAACACAAACAGCCUACUGCCCCACAGCCACCUGGACCCACAUAUCCCUCCCCCCCCCGCCUCCUUUGGGGCACCAUCAGAUGGGCCAUGCAUUGCCACCUGCCAUACCUGCAUCAGCACCCCAACUCCUAGUCCCAGCCUGAUUAUACAAUGCACCAUGUGCCAACACUCCAUACAAAUGCUGGAAACACAAACAGCCAACUGCCCCACAGCCACGUGGACCCACAUAUCCCUCCCCCCCCCCCCUGCCUCCUUAGGGGCACCCACAGGUGGAUGGGCCACGCAUUGCCAUCUGCCAUACCUGCAUCAGCACCCCAACUCCUAGUCCCAGCCUGAUUAUUCAAUGCACCAUGUGCCAACACUCCAUACAAAUGCUGGAAACACAAACAGCCAACUGCCCCACAGCCACGUGGACCCACAUAUCCCUCUCCCCCCCCCCGCCUCCUUAGGGGCACCAUCAGAUGGGCCACACAUUGCCACCUGCCAUACCUGCAUUGGCACCCCAACUCCUAGUCCCAGCCUGAUUAUACAAUGCACCAUGUGCCAACACUCCAUACAAAUGCUGGAAACACAAACAGCCAACUGCCCCACAGCCACCUGGACCCACAUAUCCCUCCCCCCCCGCCUCCUUAGGGGCACCCACAGGUGGGCCACACAUUGCCACCUGCCAUACCUGCAUCGGCACCCCAACUCCUAGUCCCAGCCUGAUUAUUCAAUGCACCAUGUGCCAACACUCCAUACAAACGCUGGAAACACAAACAGCCUACUGCCCCACAGCCAC